Molecule: ribosomal RNA, 468 nt
Filed under: uncultured bacterium
Lineage: Bacteria
Description: partial 16S ribosomal RNA
Rfam family: Bacterial small subunit ribosomal RNA
Source: RNAcentral
GACGAACGCUGGCGGCGUGCUUAACACAUGCAAGUCGAACGGAAAGGCCCUGCUUUUGUGGGGUGCUCGAGUGGCGAACGGGUGAGUAACACGUGAGUAACCUGCCCUUGACUUUGGGAUAACUUCAGGAAACUGGGGCUAAUACCGGAUAGGAGCUCCUGCUGCAUGGUGGGGGUUGGAAAGUUUCGGCGGUUGGGGAUGGGCUCGCGGCUUAUCAGCUUGUUGGUGGGGUAGUGGCUUACCAAGGCUUUGACGGGUAGCCGGCCUGAGAGGGUGACCGGACACAUUGGGACUGAGAUACGGCCCAGACUCCUACGGGAGGCAGCAGUGGGGAAUAUUGCACAAUGGGCGGAAGCCUGAUGCAGCAACGCCGCGUGCGGGAUGACGGCCUUCGGGUUGUAAACCGCUUUCGCCUGUGACGAAGCGUGAGUGACGGUAAUGGGUAAAGAAGCACCGGCUAACUACGUG